UAGAGUUUGAUCAUGGCUCAGAUUGAACGCUGGCGGCAGGCCUAACACAUGCAAGUCGAGCGGCAGCGACUUAACUGAACCUUCGGGGAACGUUAAGGGCGGCGAGCGGCGGACGGGUGAGUAAUGCCUGGGAAUAUGCCCUGAUGUGGGGGAUAACUAUUGGAAACGAUAGCUAAUACCGCAUAAUCUCUUCGGAGCAAAGAGGGGGACCUUCGGGCCUCUCGCGUCAGGAUUAGCCCAGGUGGGAUUAGCUUGUUGGUGAGGUAAUGGCUCACCAAGGCAACGAUCCCUAGCUGGUCUGAGAGGAUGAUCAGCCACACUGGAACUGAGACACGGUCCAGACUCCUACGGGAGGCAGCAGUGGGGAAUAUUGCACAAUGGGGGAAACCCUGAUGCAGCCAUGCCGCGUGUGUGAAGAAGGCCUUCGGGUUGUAAAGCACUUUCAGUAGGGAGGAAGGUAGUGUAGUUAACACCUGCAUUAUUUGACGUUACCUACAAAANAAGCACCGGCUAACUCCGUGCCAGCAGCCGCGGUAAUACGGAGGGUGCGAGCGUUAAUCGGAAUUACUG
Molecule: ribosomal RNA, 570 nt
Filed under: uncultured bacterium
Lineage: Bacteria
Description: bacterial SSU rRNA
Rfam family: Bacterial small subunit ribosomal RNA
Source: RNAcentral